RNAcentral lists this ribosomal RNA (468 nucleotides) under uncultured bacterium. Its description in RNAcentral is "partial 16S ribosomal RNA". It matches the Rfam family "Bacterial small subunit ribosomal RNA", at positions 28 to 507 of the family's 1533-position model. The record is from RNAcentral.
GACGAACGCUGGCGGCGUGCUUAACACAUGCAAGUCGAACGGAAAGGCCCUGCUUUUGUGGGGUGCUCGAGUGGCGAACGGGUGAGUAACACGUGAGUAACCUGCCCUUUACUUUGGGAUAACUUCAUGAAACUGGGGCUAAUACCGGAUAUGAGCUCCUGCUGCAUGGUGGGGGUUGGACCGUUUCGGCGGUUGGGGAUGGACUCGCGGCUUAUCAGCUUGUUGGUGGGGUCGUGGCUUACCAAGGCUUUGACGGGUAGCCGGCCUGAGAGGGUGACCGGCGAGAUUGGGAGUGUAAAACGGCCGAGAGCGGUAAGGGAGGCAGCAGUGGGGAAUAUUGAAGAAUGGGCGGAAGCAUGAUGCAGAAAAGCGGAGGGCGGGAUGACGGUGGUAGGGUUGUAAACAGCUAUCGCUUGUGACGAAGCGUGAGUGACGAUAAUGGGUAAAGAAGCACCGGUGAACUACGUG